Long non-coding RNA from Aphis gossypii (cotton aphid), 334 nucleotides. RefSeq lists it as uncharacterized. The transcript has 3 exons. Lineage: Eukaryota; Metazoa; Arthropoda; Insecta; Hemiptera; Aphididae. The record is from RefSeq and is a predicted model, not a curated record.
UAUCCACUAAAUAAUUCAUUAUAGAAAAGUGGGAUUCUUAUUUUAAAGAACAGAAAUUUGUAUCUCCAGAACACACUCUUAAGGGAAAAAAUUUCGAGAAUUUAAAGAAAAUAUGGUCUUUAAGUAUAUCUGAGAAGUCCAAAAAUCAGAUUUUUAAUUACUGCAUUACUGCAUUAUCGAAGACAAAAAAAGGGCAAACACAAUAUUCGAAAUAGUGUACAAUAAAAACGAUCAACAGGGGACACGGUACAGUCGUUGGAUUACAAUUGGAUUACCUCAUCGCAGUUCCGGGUUUUGUGCAGCAACGUUUCACCAACCAACCGAUCAGCUCACG